AGAGUUUGAUCCUGGCUCAGGACGAACGCUGGCGGCGUGCCUAACAUAUGCAAGUCGAGCGAUGAAAUCCUCCGGGAUGGAUUAGCGGCGGACGGGUGAGUAACACGUGGGUAACCUGCCUCAAAGAGGGGAAUAGCCUUCCGAAAGGAAGAUUAAUACCGCAUAAUAUGUUUGGGUCGCAUGACUAGAACAUCAAAGGAGCAAUCCGCUUUGAGAUGGACCCGCGGCGCAUUAGCUAGUUGGUGAGGUAACGGCUCACCAAGGCGACGAUGCGUAGCCGACCUGAGAGGGUGAUCGGCCACAUUGGAACUGAGACACGGUCCAGACUCCUACGGGAGGCAGCAGUGGGGAAUAUUGCGCAAUGGGGGAAACCCUGACGCAGCAACGCCGCGUGAAUGAUGAAGGCCUUCGGGUUGUAAAGUUCUGUCUUCUGGGACGAUAAUGACGUACCAGAGAGA
RNAcentral lists this ribosomal RNA (458 nucleotides) under uncultured Clostridium sp. Its description in RNAcentral is "bacterial SSU rRNA". It matches the Rfam family "Bacterial small subunit ribosomal RNA", at positions 8 to 466 of the family's 1533-position model. Lineage: Bacteria; Bacillati; Bacillota; Clostridia; Eubacteriales; Clostridiaceae. The record is from RNAcentral.